Molecule: ribosomal RNA, 433 nt
Filed under: uncultured bacterium
Lineage: Bacteria
Description: partial 16S ribosomal RNA
Rfam family: Bacterial small subunit ribosomal RNA
Source: RNAcentral
AACGAACGCUGGCGGCAUGCCUAACACAUGCAAGUCGAACGAAACCUUCGGUUCUAGUGUCGCACGGGUGCGUAACGCGUGGGAACCUGCCCUUAGGUUCGGAAUAACUCCCCGAAAGGGGUGCUAAUACCGGAUAAUGUCUUCUGACCAAAGAUUUAUCGCCUUUGGAUGGUCCCGCGUUGGAUUAGCUAGUUGGUAGGGUAAAAGCCUACCAAGGCGACGAUCCAUAGCUGGUCUGAGAGGAUGAUCAGCCACACUGGGACUGAGACACGGCCCAGAAUCCUACGCGAGGCAGCAGUGGGGAAUAUUGGAACAUGGGCUGAGGCCUGAUCCAGCAAUGACGCGUGAGUGAUGAAGGCCUUAGGGUUGUAAAGCUCUUUUACCCGGGAUGAUAAUGACAGUACCGGGAGAAUAAGCUCCGGCUAACUCCGUG